GUGCUCACUUUCAUAAUACAUGUACUAAAAUUGGACCAAUACAGAGAACAUUAGCAUGGCCUCCGCACAAGGAUGACACGCAAAUUUGUGAAAUAUUCCAUAUUAAA
This is a small nuclear RNA of Cavia aperea (Brazilian guinea pig), 107 nucleotides long. Lineage: Eukaryota; Metazoa; Chordata; Mammalia; Rodentia; Caviidae. The record is from Ensembl.